RNAcentral lists this ribosomal RNA (322 nucleotides) under uncultured bacterium. Its description in RNAcentral is "bacterial SSU rRNA". It matches the Rfam family "Bacterial small subunit ribosomal RNA", at positions 28 to 334 of the family's 1533-position model. The record is from RNAcentral.
GAUGAACGCUGGCGGCGUGCCUAACACAUGCAAGUCGAACGAAGCACUUAAGCGGAUCCUUCGGGUGAAGCAUUUGUGACUGAGUGGCGGACGGGUGAGUAACGCGUGGGUAACCUGCCCUGUACAGGGGGAUAACAGUCAGAAAUGACUGCUAAUACCGCAUAAGCGCACAAAAGGACAUCCUUUGGUGUGAAAAACUCCGGUGGUACAGGAUGGGCCCGCGUCUGAUUAGCUGGUUGGCGGGGUAAAGGCCCACCAAGGCGACGAUCAGUAGCCGGUCUGAGAGGAUGAGCGGCCACAUUGGAACUGAGACACGGUCCAA